CGGAGUGAAGGAGCGGGGCGCGGGGCUCUGCGGGGUGCAGUUUAACCUCAGGUCACUGCUGAUCCCCAAGCGCCGUCAGGAGCUACCGCAUCGCGUGUGUCUGGACUAGUCCCUCCGGGGCUGGCGGGUGGCUCCGGCUUGCCGCGCCGUGCUCGCCAGCCCCCGGGGGGGGGGGUGUAAGUGGGGGCCCCCGUGGGUGCAUUUUACGCAUUGCAAAGACGAGCUUCCCCGCCUACUUCGCACUGGCAGAAGUUUCUGCGCCGUAGAAGUUUUGCGGAAGCCCUGGAGGGUCCGGCUCUGGGCCGGAUAACGAGUCCCGGGGUGCGGGGGAGGCGGCGGGAUAGACCCCCCGGCCUGGGGGUUGCCGGCGCUGGUUUUCCAUAGCCAGCCUCCGCGUGGGCAAAGGCGCACGCCUCCUGAGCGCGCUAAAGCGCGGGAGCCCCGCCUGCUCAGGUGGGGCUGCGGGGCGCCUCGUCCCUUCGCCUUUGCGCAGGACCCGCAGCGCCUCUUCUCCGCUCCCGUCCCGCGCUGCGUCCCCGGGGCUGCCCGGCGCCGGGCGCGCGACCAGCCCGAGCAGGGGUCACCCCGCUGGCUGCUUUAACGGGGCCGGGAGCGGAGCGUGGCCAGGGGCUGCAGGGCUAGCGGGCGGUGUUUGUGGGGCCCCCCUCUCGGUAUAGCUCUCAUCUGCUCUGAAGCCGCAGCUGGAACCGUUGCUGGGCUGGCUCGGGCUGUUGGGAGCCCUGGUCAGGUGGGGUCAGUCUGUGCGAGCUGUUUCCCGUGUCUGCUGGAGCACUGUGACCGCCGUCAACCUCGGAGGCCGGCGAUUGUGCCUGUCUGCAGAGCGAGAGCAGAUCUCAUGAAUGGUGCCAGCCUAUUUGAUGGUAUUGAUGGGCAGAGCAGUGGAAAGCAGUGGAAGGCCUGCCCCUGCAGGUGACAGAGGGGCCAGACUGACAGCCACAGACUGAAAUCCUUUAUUUGCCCACAAAACAGAAGUAGUAUUAGCUGUAAUAGUACCAGUCCAAUCCCACCAACAAGCCUCAACCCCGACUAGGAGGAACCAGAUGUUAGUUUGAAAAGGGAGUUCAGUCUCCCUAUUCAUUCAUUCCUUGAGCUGUCUGCUGAAACUGCCAAAACGGAUGCCAAUUCUGGUGAUGAUGGUGUAAUAUUUUAGGAGGGGGACAUCAGUCUAUCAGGAAUUCUACUGACCUCACCAGCUCAUUUCACAGAUGCCACAGGCUACCCAGUUAGUGUGGUCUUUGGGUUACUACUGACUUGGGCUGUUGCUGCAAAAAAGCCACAAAAAGAAUUAUGUAGGCAAAAAUGAAGGCUUACGCAUACACUGUAGUUUGAAUAAUGAAGGUAUUAAUAGCAUUAGAUGGCUGAAAAGUAAACAGGAAGAAAGCAUUCUUUUUUACUGGAACGGGGGGACAGUCAUGUGACAUUCAAACUUAAAUUUAAGGGCCCUGACUCAACUUCCAUUGAGACCAAAUGGAAAGACUGUCUCUUAUUUCAUUUGUUAUUGGAUCAGCCCUAAACUGGUGAUAGCAAUUUGUUUGCCAUCCAGGGCCACCCUCCAGCAAAGAAAUGCAUCGUGUGUUUUAUAAUUUGUACACUGGAAUUGUUAGGCAUAAGCACCAUUUACCGAAAAAGCACAGUCGUUAUUAUCGGAACUGCGCUAACGCCCAGAGGCCCUCAUUGUGACUUGGGUCUCAUUGUGCUUGUCACUGUACAGACACAUAGGAAGACAUUGUCUCCGUCCUGAAGAGCGCUCAGUCAAAUGGUGUCACCUGAAAGUGAGAACAGGCGUUUGCAUGGAGCUUUUGUAGCCGGAGUUGCAAGGUAUUUAUGAGCCACAUAUGCUAAACAUUCAUAUGCCCCUUCAUGCUUUGGCCACUGUUUCAGAGGACAUGCUUUCAUGCUGCUGAUGCUUGUUAAAAAAAAUGCGUUAAUUAAAUUUGUGACUGAACUCCUUGGGGGAGAAUUGUAUGUCUCCUUUUCUGUUUUACCCACUUUCUGCCAUAUAUUUCAUGUUAUAGCAGUCUUGGAUGAUGACCCAACACAUGUUUGUUUUAAGAACACUUUCACAGCAGUUUUGACAAAACUCAAAGAGGGUCCCUAUGUGAGAUUUCUGUGGAUAGAUACAGGACUCAACCCAAGGUUAAAGAAUCUGAAGUGCCUUCCAAAAUCUGAGAGGGAUGAGGUGUGGAGGAUGCUUUCAGAAGUCUUAAAAGAGCAACACUUGGAUGCUGAAACUAUAGAACCUAAACCACUAAAAAAAAUCAACCUUCCCUGGUGGCAUCUGACUCAAAUGAUGAACAUGCUUCGGUCCGCUCUGCUUUGGGUUGUUAUUGAGUAGAACCUGUCAUCAGAGGAUGCAUGUCAACGAGAAUGGCAGUUUAAGAACAAAGGGACAUAUGAAUGUUAUGAAUCAUCUGGCAAGUAAAUAUCUUGUGAUGCCAGCUACAACGGUGCCAUGCAAAAGCCUGUUCUCACUUUCAGGUGACGCUGUAAAUAAGAAGAAGUCAGCAGUACCUCCUAUAAAUGUAAACAAACUUGUUUGUCUGAGCAAUUGUCUGAACAAGAAGUAGGAAUGAAUGGACUUGUAGGCACUAAAGUUUUACAUUGUUUUGUUUCAUUUUUGAAUGCAGUUAUUUUUUGUACAAAAUUCUACAUUUGUAAGUUCAAUUUCAUGAUAAAGAGAUUGCACUACAGUAUUUGUAUUAGGUGAAUUGAAAUAUACUAUUUAGUUUUUUGCAGUGCAAAUAUUUGUAAUAAAAAUAAAUAUAA
This is a non-coding RNA of Caretta caretta (loggerhead turtle), 2787 nucleotides long. NCBI's taxonomy places the organism in Eukaryota, Metazoa, Chordata, Testudines, Cheloniidae. The record is from RefSeq and is a predicted model, not a curated record.